ACGCUGGCGGCAGGCCUAACACAUGCAAGUCGAGCGCUACCUUCGGGUGGAGCGGCGGACGGGUUAGUAACGCGUGGGAAUAUACCCAGUUCUAAGGAAUAGCCACUGGAAACGGUGAGUAAUACCUUAUACGCCCUUCGGGGGAAAGAUUUAUCGGAAUUGGAUUAGCCCGCGUUAGAUUAGAUAGUUGGUGGGGUAAUGGCCUACCAAGUCUACGAUCUAUAGCUGGUUUGAGAGGAUGAUCAGCAACACUGGGACUGGGACACGGCCCAGACUCCUACGGGAGGCAGCAGUGGGGAAUCUUAGACAAUGGGCGAAAGCCUGAUCUAGCCAUGCCGCGUGAGUGAUGAAGGCCCUAGGGUCGUAAAGCUCUUUCAACUGUGAAGAUAAUGACGGUAGCAGUAGAAGAAACCCCGGCUAACUCCGUGCCAGCAGCCGCGGUAAUACGGAGGGGGUUAGCGUUGUUCGGAAUUACUGGGCGUAAAGCGUACGUAGGCGGAUUAAUAAGUUAGAGGUGAAAUCCCAGGGCUCGACCCUGGAACUGCCUUUAAAGCUGUUAGUCUUGAGAUCGAGAGAGGUGAGUGGAAUUCCA
Molecule: ribosomal RNA, 592 nt
Filed under: uncultured Alphaproteobacteria bacterium
Lineage: Bacteria; Pseudomonadati; Pseudomonadota; Alphaproteobacteria
Description: bacterial SSU rRNA
Rfam family: Bacterial small subunit ribosomal RNA
Source: RNAcentral